Molecule: ribosomal RNA, 253 nt
Filed under: uncultured bacterium
Lineage: Bacteria
Description: partial 16S ribosomal RNA
Rfam family: Bacterial small subunit ribosomal RNA
Source: RNAcentral
UACGAAGGGGGCUAGCGUUGCUCGGAAUCACUGGGCGUAAAGCGCACGUAGGCGGGUUGUUAAGUCGGGGGUGAAAUCCUGGAGCUCAACUCCAGAACUGCCUUCGAUACUGGCGACCUUGAGUCCGGGAGAGGUGAGUGGAACUCCGAGUGUAGAGGUGAAAUUCGUAGAUAUUAGGAAGAACACCAGUGGCGAAGGCGGCUCACUGGUCCGGUACUGACGCUGAGGUGCGAAAGCGUGGGGAGCAAACAGG